This 8249-nucleotide long non-coding RNA is filed under the name Citrus sinensis (sweet orange). RNAcentral's name for it is "long non-coding RNA (CSIN_LNC000154)". Lineage: Eukaryota; Viridiplantae; Streptophyta; Magnoliopsida; Sapindales; Rutaceae. The record is from RNAcentral.
AUGAAUGGAGGCGGUUGGUGUGUUCACUGGGCUCAAAGUACAUGACUGCUGGAGAUGAUGCUGCUUUUGGAAUGAUAGGUUGGGCUGAGAGUUUCAUGCAAUCAUUGUUUCCCAGGUGGUUGUAGCUAACAGAUAAUUUGGCACCCACCAGCCAAUCAAUUUCAUCACAAUCAGAAACCAUCUUUUUCCAUAAAGUGCUUAUAACGAUCAAAACUAUAUAUAUACCUGAUUCCAGCCCUUACAAGAAAAUAAACCAUAACAGACUUCAUCUUUGUCUUGCCAAUCUUCAAUUCUUCAUCUCUUCUACUGUUGCUCCGAAUGGCGAAAACAAUAAGCGCUGCAAACAAAAACGAAGUUAAACAAAAGAAAGGCACAAUCUUUUGCUUGUCUAAAAAACUUCAACCGAACAACAAAGCAAAGAGCAAGGUUAUCAAAUUUAAGAACCUAAAAUCUCAGCCUCCUUAAUUUUCUCCAAAGAAGCAAGAAGGUUCACCAUUGUACCUUCUCCAUCAUAAGAUCCAACUCUAUUUAAUGAUUCUUUAGUGAGCCAAAAAAUUGGCUUGUUGCACUUUGUCCUUUGUGGCACAGGAGAUUCAUCUGAGAACAAAAAUUAAAUCAAUAAAGUGACUCGCACUUGAUUAAGAUUUAAUCAAAAAAUUUAAUAAGAAACUCUUGAUUGCUAUGAAGCCAACAGUGAGAGUUCACUGUUCCUACGCCACCCCACAGGCAUACUCUAAAAAUAAGCCAAAAAAAAAAAUCCGAAGAAAUUCUGAUUUCCAAAUUGACCGACCAAAGUUAAAAAAUGAAAAGAAUAAGAAUCUACAGAGCAGUACAAACCAAUUCAAUUUAAGAUGAACAAUCUACAGAACCAUGAGAUUUGUGGAAUCAUUUGAAUCCUCUUCAACACUAUCCUACCGACUUUAUUUCAGACGACAAUCAGAACAUGCUUUAACAUUCCUAAAUCUAACUUUCGAGCCAAUAAGGUUGACUAAUAAUUCAGAAUAUGGAUAAUAUAGAAACUUGAAUAGAACUCCUCCCAUAUCAUUCAAUCCUGUCUCAGGUAUGUAGUAUUCCCAAUAGCACAGAGUGUAACUAAUUAAAGGUAAUUGCUGGCUUGCUGUAUCCUCUUUGGCCUAACCUUUCUUGUUUUAUAGAAAAAUUAUAUGAAUUUUGAAUCUAGACAAACUUGCCUCUAAAUAUUCUACUUUGAGUGCAGACGAUGUUUUAUCUUAGUAUUUGCAGCAAAACUUAAAUAAUUUAAGGUCAAGUAGUUGCUUUGAUUAAAGAUUAAAAUAUGGUCAAAGCGAUAGGUAAGUCAAAAGUGAAAUUAAAAAAGAUUAAAAAGUGUUGCAUAUACUUGACCAAAUAAUAUAUGUGAUACAGAAUUAGAUGCAAUAUAUUUUCUACAUACAAAUAAGAAAAAAGAAGAAAGAAAAGAAAUUAACUGAGAUUGAUGGGAACCACAGCCAUUUUCUUGUGAUGAAUAUAUUACAGAUGAAAAUUUCUGCUUAUACCAGCAGAAGUGUUGCAAAAACUGAUAGCGGUAAAGUCAUGAAAUAUUAAUAUGAAUAUACCAUUAAUUUCUCCAAAAUGAAUUUUACUUGCAUCGUACUAGUUAUAGAGGAAAUCCUAAAGUACUUAUCCACUGAAAAAGAAAUAAUCGGUGUGAUUAUAGGAUUCAAACAAUUAAAUUCAUCAAGUAAAAAAGUUAAAGAAGAGAAGAAAAUACCUGUCAGUCAAUGGUAAUUAAUUGCUGCUGUUACUGAAUUCAAUGACGGUCUAUUUGGACAUAGCGACUAUCAAUUAUGACGGUAGGAAUGCAAGAGAUCUUUGACCGAUCAUCCCCUGCAGCCUCUUUGAAACUUUUUUCUAAAAUAGGACAAUCAUUAAUCUCCAAUUUCUUCAGUGUUGUGCUCCGAAGAACUUGGUCAGGCAACAUUUUCAAUUUGCUACAAUCUCUAAUAGCCAAAGAAUUUAGUUGAGGCAUGAUUGUAAUAUUUUCUUCUAUAAACUCCCAUUCUUCCCAUCCAUCUAAACUCCAAAGUGUGAAUUUCUUCAGUCUAGGAAAGGCAAUAACUGAAGAUGAAGAUGAAGAUGAAGAUGGAGAUGGAGAUAGAGAUGGAGAUGUGCCAUGCAUAUGAUCACUUUCUAUCCCCAAAACUUCAUCGCCCACUCUUUUUAUACCAUGCAUUUCCCAUAUAUCAAGAACUUCAAGGGAUUGCAAUUUUCCUAAAGGAGGCAUAAUCUCACACUUUUUGCAGAAUGAGAGACAUAACAUCCUCAGCUUGUUUAAUGACAGUAUCCAGUUGGGGAACCUAGCCUUGACUUCAUAGAAAGAUAUUUGUAAUGACUCUAGAUUUGGAUGCGGUCUUAAGGCUUCAAUAAUUGCUUGAUGGUUUACUUCGUCUUCAUCUUCUUCCUCUUCCUUGUCAAAUUCUAAUUCCAAAGAAAUGAGGUUCUUCUUUUUCUCAAGCUCUGCAUUUUUGGCCCCAUCAACAUCUGUCACAUUCCCUAACCCUCGAAUCUUAAGAGACCCUCGGAGAUGAUUCAUGUGUCUCAAACCAUCAAGAUUACAUGCUUUACUACCAUAUUUGCCACCACCACUCACAGCAACAAACUCACUUAAUGUCCUAAGACCCGUUAAACUCCCCAUUCCUUUUGGCAUGUACUCUAAAUCAUCCUCAUCAAAUAUUAAAUGCCUCAAAUUAACUAACUUUCCUAUGUUUUGAGGUAAUCUUUUAAACUUGCUGCAUCUUCUGAGGUCUAAGUUUUGCAAAUUAAAUAACUCGCAGCAUGUCUCAGGCAAUUCUUCUAUUCCUACAAAAAACAAUUUCAGGUAUCUUAAAUGUAUCAACUUUUCAAUCCCAUUUGGUAUUCUCUCAAUUGCAUCAUCCCCAUACUUCCCAAUUCUUAAUGCCCUUAAGCAAGUCAGUUGAUCAAAAAAACUUGGCAUGUGCUGCAGUGAAUAGCCUUGAAUUAAAAGGCUACGUAACUUUUUGGCAUUAAAUAUUGAAACAGGAAAUGAAGCAUUGUAGUGAAGCACCAAAAUUGAAUGACGGAGUUUCUCAUAACAAAUAUUUCUCAACAACGGCGGCUCGCCAACACUGCCAACUUCCAUUGCAGCACAUUCCACUUUAGUGAGAAGUUGUGCAAAACCAUGCACUAUAUCAUGCAUUUUAUAUCUUUUAACAUUACCUUCUUCAUCUUUCUCAAACUCCUGGAAGAAAGAUCUCUUGGCUAACAAGUCAAAAUACCUUUCACCAACCAUCUCCAUCUCCAUCUCCAUCUCUUUAUUACCUUUCUGAUCAAUAUAACCUUGAGCCAUCCAUAAUUUAAUCAAUUCAUCCCUGUCCACAUAGCAUUCUUUUGGCAAUACGGCACAGUAGGAGAAACAUCGUUUAAUCUCAUUGGGCAAAUCGUUAUAACUCAAUAGGAGAGCAGGUAAAAGAUUUUUUUCAAACUCUUCUACCUGCCAAAUCUCACUAUCUAAGAUACUUUGCCACUCUUCUCUAGCUUUUUUAAACCGCAACAGACUCCCGAUGGUUUUAACCGCAAGUGGCAAGCCUUUGCACUUCCAUGUAAUCUUUCUACCAAUUUCUUCUAAUUGUUUGCAAUCUGAACGAGAUCUAUUGAGAAAAGCAAAUCGCUUAAAUAGCGACCAACAUUCUGUUGGGGAAAAAUUAGGUUUUUAAAAUUUUUAUAAAACCUUUUGAAGAUCGCUCUCAUAUAAUAUAUAAGAAUUCGUAUUCUAGAAAUCGUACCUUGAAAAUCCGAGUUGGCUUUUUCCGCUGAAGUGAUUUAGGCUCCUAGAUCACGAUCUGCCACCACCACUCCUGUUAGAUCACGAUCCGUCGCCACCACGCUUGCUAGAUCACGAACUGUCACCAAUGAUCUUCCAGGUUAUGACUCAGGUUCGAUCUGCACUUGACGUGUGGGCGCCUUUAUCACUACCAAAGCAACUAGCACGAGAAAAUUUUUCUCUCAAUAAAUAGAGAGAAAAAUCUUUUUCUCUGAUCUGUAUAAAGUGGCUUCUUUCUAAAUUCACACUCGUCACUAAUAUCAAUAUAUAAAGUGGGUGUAACAUAACUCAAAACUAAAGAUAAUACAAAUACUAAAAUUUAGAGAUAAUGCAAAUACUAAAAUUUAGAAAUUAUCAUGUCAUCCAAUAUCAAAAUAUCACAUAAAAUGCCUUAAAUUUUAUUAUUUUUAUUUUUAUUAUUUUUUAACUAAACUGCAAGACUAGGAAGAUGUGUUUCUAGAGUAACUAAACUCUAUAUUUGGCCAUCUUCAACUCAAAAAUUUAGAAAAGGUUAUUCCACAAGUACAAGAAAACAACUAUCAGUUAUUCUGCAACUAUCAACUAUUAUCUCUCCCCAACUAGAAUGAGACAUUGUCCUCAAUAUCUAAAAAGAAAAAAUGUAGAUUUUAGAAGAUAUCACCUGAAUGCUGCAACAUAAGAAAAUAUGUACAAAUGGAAGGUUAAAUCUAAUUUGCACCUCUUAAUACUACUACUGCUAUCAUCAUUAGUUGACCAAUCCAACGCAAAGGUCCUAAGAUCUGAUUCUAGUAUGUAAGUUUGUAAAAGAUCUAGUAACUUGUUAGUAGUAGAAGCAUAAAUAAAGAGCUGCUGUACCGUACAUCCGCCUUGGCCGUACAGCAGUGAGAUUUAAUAAGUCUGACAGUUAUUACAAAGUUAAUUAAAUCUCGUAUGUGAUCUUGUUCAAUGUAGUUGUACUACAUCAAUAAAUUCAUACAUGAUUAAGACAAAUCAUUCAAUGAAUUUAUUAUAGUCUAUACCUAAAUAAAGUGCCCAACUUUAUUUAUCAACUGUGAACUAAAUUUAUUUAAUCAUAAGAUAACUUGUAUUUAUGUCUUCUGUGAAUCCACAUGGUGAUCACAUAAAUACAUAUAAUAUGAUCUGCUGUACGGCCAAGGCGGUAUUAAUGCAAUUAAGAUAUUUGAAUAAAAUACCUCAUUUAUUUUAUUAAUCAGAAAAAUUGUUUAUUACAAUUAAAUAAACACAUAUGCUUUUAAAGAGCAUAUUUUCCCAACAAUCUCCCACUAGCUCUCAAAGCAUAUCUGGCAUAUUGCACAUGCUCUAGGACUCUAAGUGCAGGUUAUAAAGGUUUCCCACUAAUGGCCAUUGUAAUAAGAUCUGCCAUUUAGCAUCUAAUGCCAUUUGGGGUACUGUCAUAUAACCUUUCUACACUAUUCCCUUAUAAGAUGAUACUUCCUUUCAAUAUGUUUUGUUUCUUGUGGUUCCUUGGUUCCUUAGAUUGAGCUACCGCACCACCAUUAUCACAUAAAUAGUUUAAGGGGUGCAGUUACAACAGGUACCACCUCAAGAUUUCUUAGGAACUUGCGAAGCCAUAUAGCUUCUUUUGCAGCUUCAGAUGUAGCCACAUAUUCAGCUUUAGUUGCUGAGUCUGUGAUACAAGAUUGUUUCACACUGAUCCAACUAAUAGCUCCACUUCCCAAUGUAAACACAUAGCCGGAAGUUGAUUUUCUGCCUUGGCCGUACAGCAGUAGUUCUUUUCAGAUACUUUAUAAUAUGCUUGACUGCAGUCCAGUAUUGAGGUCCAGGAUUAAAUUGAUAUCUGCUAACCAUCCCUACCGCAAAACAGAUGUCUAGCCUAGUGCAAAGCAUGGCAUACACGAGACUUCCCACAGCACCUGGCAGUAUUCCACUCAUCCAAUACAUCUUCAGUGUCGUAGGAUGCGUGUUUGAGCUUGUCUAAAGAAAUUUCAGAAAUAUGUUUUCACUACAACUGUUAGAUGCAUGAAUAAAACAGAGGACGAUACAACAUCAGAUUUGACCACUGAUUGAAUUGCUGUUCAUAUGACUGCAGUUAAAAAAAAAAAAAAACAUCGAUGAAUACCAAAACACAAGUCACUGUCGUUAAUAUUUCUCUUAUUAACGCAGGUGAGAUUACCUUGAUGAAUGGAGGCGGUUGGUGUGUUCACUGGGCUCAAAGUACAUGACUGCUGGAGAUGAUGCUGCUUUUGGAAUGAUAGGUUGGGCUGAGAGUUUCAUGCAAUCAUUGUUUCCCAGGUGGUUGUAGCUAACAGAUAAUUUGGCACCCACCAGCCAAUCAAUUUCAUCACAAUCAGAAACCAUCUUUUUCCAUAAAGUGCUUAUAACGAUCAAAACUAUAUAUAUACCUGAUUCCAGCCCUUACAAGAAAAUAAACCAUAACAGACUUCAUCUUUGUCUUGCCAAUCUUCAAUUCUUCAUCUCUUCUACUGUUGCUCCGAAUGGCGAAAACAAUAAGCGCUGCAAACAAAAACGAAGUUAAACAAAAGAAAGGCACAAUCUUUUGCUUGUCUAAAAAACUUCAACCGAACAACAAAGCAAAGAGCAAGGUUAUCAAAUUUAAGAACCUAAAAUCUCAGCCUCCUUAAUUUUCUCCAAAGAAGCAAGAAGGUUCACCAUUGUACCUUCUCCAUCAUAAGAUCCAACUCUAUUUAAUGAUUCUUUAGUGAGCCAAAAAAUUGGCUUGUUGCACUUUGUCCUUUGUGGCACAGGAGAUUCAUCUGAGAACAAAAAUUAAAUCAAUAAAGUGACUCGCACUUGAUUAAGAUUUAAUCAAAAAAUUUAAUAAGAAACUCUUGAUUGCUAUGAAGCCAACAGUGAGAGUUCACUGUUCCUACGCCACCCCACAGGCAUACUCUAAAAAUAAGCCAAAAAAAAAAAUCCGAAGAAAUUCUGAUUUCCAAAUUGACCGACCAAAGUUAAAAAAUGAAAAGAAUAAGAAUCUACAGAGCCUGCUGUACGGCCAAGGCGGAUGUACGGUACAGCAGUUUUAUUUAGUUUCUAUCCGACAUUUACUGUGAUAGGCAAUGAAAUUGGUGCAAAUAAAUUACGGACCAACAUUGUUUAAUCUCAUUGGACAGAUCGUUAUAACUCAAUAGUACAGCAGGUAAAAUAUCUUUUUCAAAAUCUUCCACCUGCCAAAUUUCACUAUCUAAGAUAUUUUGCCACUCUUCUCUAGUUUUUUUAACCACAACAAACCCCAGAUAGUUUUAGCCGCAAGUGGCAACAUUCUGGUUUAGACAAUUAUUUCUACCAAUUUCUUCUAAUUGUUCGCACUCUAAACGAGAUCGAUUGAGAAAAGCAAAUCGUUUAAAUAGCGACAACAUUCUGGUUUAGACAAUUCUUUAAUGAAGAUAAGAUAGAAUUAUUAAUGCGUUGAUGAAGUGAAUUCAGUUCACCUAAAUUAGGAGUAGAACCUUCUAAAUUUUCGAUGAUGGCUUUCGCAAUUCGAAACUCAUCGAAAGGGUCCGAAACACAAACCCAGAUCCUAACAUUAAAAUUGUUGAUUACAUCUGCAUCGUUGUAAGCCAAUUGAGCAAGAGUUGUCUUUCCGAUACCACCCAUCCCUACGAGAGAGAUGAGUUGGAUGGCAUUUGGUUGUUCAGCAGUUUCACUUAACAACUUGCCCUUCAGAGCAUUUUUCUCCUCAUUUCGACCACACACUUCAGACACAUUAAUUAAGGCAGUACUUUGCGUCCUCUCAGAUUUAUCCUCCUUACUUCUAGUGACACUCAAAUUAAAAGUAUCUUUCUGGCUAGCAAUAUCAUCUAAAGUUUCAUUCAUUUCUUUUAUCUUUUUAGCAAUAUCACAACACAGAAAGAGUUGUUUGAAACCAAAGCAAGAGGCAGCAGGAAAGAAAGAGAUGCAUACCUUCUGCAGGAAAGAAAGAGCAUUAUCAGCAUCAACUCCCUCGAUUUGCAGUUUGAGCCUGGCAGUAUUCCACUCAUCCAAUACAUCUUCAGUGUCGUAGGAUGCGUGUUUGAGCUUGUCUAAAGAAAUUUCAGAAAUAUGUUUUCACUACAACUGUUAGAUGCAUGAAUAAAACAGAGGACGAUACAACAUCAGAUUUGACCACUGAUUGAAUUGCUGUUCAUAUGACUGCAGUUAAAAAAAAAAAAAAACAUCGAUGAAUACCAAAACACAAGUCACUGUCGUUAAUAUUUCUCUUAUUAACGCAGGUGAGAUUACCUUGAUGAAUGGAGGCGGUUGGUGUGUUCACUGGGCUCAAAGUACAUGACUGCUGGAGAUGAUGCUGCUUUUGGAAUGAUAGGUUGGGCUGAGAGUUUCAUGCAAUCAUUGUUUCCCAGGUGGUUGUAGCUAACAGAUAAUUUGGCACCCACCAGCCAAUCAAUUUCAUCACAAUCAGAAACCAUCUUUUUCCAUAAAGUGCUUAUAACGAUCAAAACUAUAUAUAUACCUGAUUCCAGCCCUUACA